CCAAACAUCCUUGAGUAAUUUAUUUCAUGAUUUUCUUGCAGAAAACAUCUCCAAGAAAAUGACCAAAACAUUUAAGAAGGCACCAUACAAUAAAAUAAAACCAUAGGCUUCUCCAAUAAGAGUUGAUCCAAAGAUUUGUCACCAACACUAAGAGCACGGUGGCAUAGGAUGCAGAGAAAGUCCAAUAAAAGGAAGCUGAAUCAAAGAAAGAAUCAUCGCUCUUCUUUCCCUUGUCCAAUGGGAUUGGAGAUGGUGGAGCUCGUUUGUUGCUGUUAGUCCAAUGAAAAAAUGGACUUCCUGAAUUAUUGAUAUGGUUAAAGCUGGAAUUAUUGAUCCACUGAAGGUUUUUAAAACCGCCUUGGUUGACGGCUUAACGCAGCCAGGUGAAAUCAUCUCUGUUUUUGACUGAUGCCAAUGUUUAUCAAAAGAAUGACCAAACUCCUGUCACCAUCGCAGAACCACAUUGAUUAAUUGGAGAGCCACAUUAGUUGGGUUCUGAUUCCUGUUUCCUGAGCAAAUUAUUUGUAUUAUAUCAGGGACAUCGCGAGAGAGUUCGCUCUGGGUUAGCCAAGUAUCAUGGUGGCGAAGCUGGGGCCGAAAAGAAACCUAGAAGAAGGCCAAGUUAUGGUUCACAACCCAAAAAGAAGGACCCUAUAAUGAGAAAAGAUACUAAUACUAGCAUUUGUGUCAGUAGUAGCUCCAAAAUCGGGAAUAAGAGUGGCACUUUGAAAAGAAUCACCUCCCCUGUCUUUAAGGAUCCUUUUGUAAAUUCCAAGCUUGAGAUGAUAAAGAACAUUAGAGCACAAAGAGCUGCUGCAGAAACUGGAGAAGCUCAAGUCAUUGAACGAGCAAGCUGAGAAAGCUGCCAAGGCACUUGAGGUUGCUGCAACAAAGAGCCCCAUUGCGCAAGCUUCAUUGAUAGAAAGCAAAAAGCUUAUUGCCGAAGCUAUUCAGGCACUUGAAUCCAUUGAUGCAGAGGAGAUGAGUGAGAGUGAUAUUUCAUCGGUUGCAUCGAAUUUCUAAGCCAAUCACUUAAGUCUCACGUAAAUGGUCACAAAGC
Molecule: long non-coding RNA, 1060 nt
Organism: Arachis stenosperma
Lineage: Eukaryota; Viridiplantae; Streptophyta; Magnoliopsida; Fabales; Fabaceae
Exons: 3
Source: RefSeq, a predicted model, not a curated record